UUUAAUUUCUUUAAUAAUUUUAUUAUUAUAAAUUUUUAAAUUAAUUUAAAAAUAAAAGUUAAUAAAUUAAAUUAAAUGAUUUUAAAAAAAUUAAUUUAAUUAAUAAUUAAAUUUAAGAAAAAUUUUUUUUUUUUACCUUUUGUAUCAGGAUUAAUUAAAAAAAUUCAUUAAAAUUUAAUUUCUCGAAUUUAAAAAAUUUAAAUAAUUACUUUUAUUAAUAUAAAAAUAUUAAAUAAAAUAAUUUUUUAGAAACAAAAAAUUAAUCAAUUUUAAAAUUAUCUAGUUAUUUAUGAAAUAAAUUUAAUUUAAAUAUAAUUUUUAAAUAAUAUUUAUUAUUAUUAAAUUAAAAAAUUAUAUCAAUAAUUUUAGGAAUAAACUUAAAAUUAUUUUUAAAAAUUUUUUUAAAAGAAAAUAAUAUAAAGAUAAAAUUUUUUUUAUUAGAAAAAAUUUAAUAAUUUAAUUAAUAUUGAAAAAUAAAUUAUUUAAAAAAAAUUUUAAAAAUUUAAUAAAUAAUUUAAUUAAAUUUUAAUUUUAAAAAAAUAAUGAUUAAAUUAGUAAUAAUAUUAUAAAUUAAUAUAUUUUAUUUAUUAAAAUUAAAUUUAAUAAACUCGGCAAAAUUUAUAUUCACCUGUUUAACAAAAACAUGUCUUAUUGAAAAUAAUAUUAAGUCAAAUCUGCUCAAUGAAAAAUUAAAUAGCUGCAGUAUUUAUAACUGUACAAAGGUAGCAUAAUAAUUAGUUUUUUAAUUAAAAACUAGAAUGAAAGAUUUAAUGAAAUAUAAACUGUCUCAAAUUUAAAAAAUAAAUUUUUUUUUUAAAUAAAAAAAUUUAAAUAAAAUUUAAAGACGAGAAGACCCUAUAGAAUUUUUAUUAUAAUUUUAUAAUAAAUAAAUUUAUAAUUUUAAUUGGGGAAAUUUUAAAAUUUAAAUAAUUUUUAAUUAAAUAAACAAUUAUUUUUGUAUAAAAUAUUUUUUUUAAAAAAAUAAAUUAAAUUACCUUAGGGAUAACAGCAUAAUUUUUUUAAAAAGUUCAAAUUUAUAAAAAAGUUUAUGACCUCGAUGUUGAAUUAAGAUAAAAUUUUUUGUAAAAAAAAUAUUUUUUAAGUCUGUUCGACU
RNAcentral lists this ribosomal RNA (1114 nucleotides) under Microplitis manilae. RNAcentral's name for it is "16S ribosomal RNA". The record is from RNAcentral. Lineage: Eukaryota; Metazoa; Arthropoda; Insecta; Hymenoptera; Braconidae.